CAUGCGACACACUCAGACACACACACACAUACACACACACACACACACACAUAUUUUGACCAUUGAUAAUUUUAUGUUUUUUAUAUGGUAUAUGCGACAGAUCAUUUUGUUUAUUAUAUAUUAUUUUUAUUUAAUUUAUUUUACAACUUCUUCUUGAUUUCUUCUAUUUUUGGGUGCAGUUAUAUAAUUUUAGUGUUAUGAGAGAGCCUUUAUUUAUAUAAAACUUAUAUAAAACCAUAUUAUAAUUAUGCUUACGUCGAUGAUAAUGAAGUAAAUGCAUAUGUAAUAAAAAAACGGAAAAAGGAAAGGAAAAACCUUAACAAAAAAAAGCUUAUUUAAAAUAUUUAUGUAGGGAAAACCAUACGAAUGUCGAUCUUUGUAUGCGUCGGUAAAAUUGAAAGAAAAAGCGAUUUAUAAAAGGCCGGAAAGCGAAAAAAAAACAAAAAGCAAUCUGAGUACAGUGUUAGAAAUUUAAAUACUAAACUAAACUGAGCAAACAAAAUAGAAACUUAAUACAAAUAUUUAAAUUAUUUUGUACACAUUUUCUGACCUAUUGAAAUUUAUAUGUAUAAAUAUGUAAACUGUAAUCCGUAUACAGCGACCUUUUUUUUUUUUGUGCAAAUAAUUUAUAUUGAAACAAUUGCUGAAAUGCAAUUCAAAUCAAACUAAAUCAAAUAUAUAAUUACUCCUAUUUAUUAUUAUCUCUUUCACUAGGCGUAUUUAAGUUACAUUACGACCAACAGCAGCAAAAAUUUUAAGCAUGACUUAAAGCACAAAAAAAAUACAAAAAACAAACAAACAAACGGCCGGUGAAAGAGCAAAUUCCAAGUGUGUUUAUCAAUUUGUGUGCACCACAAACGAGGGGGGUAAAUAAUUCUCAAAGUGCCUUAUCGUUAAUAUUAUGUAUAAAUUAAAUACACACAAACACAAAUUAUGUAUAGUCUUGUGGAAAUGGAAAAGGAAACGCAGAGACGGAGUGCAAAAGGCAUAUUAAUUAUUUAUUAUUAUAUUAAAGUCUAUUUUAUUAUACUUUCGGCUUACUUUGAUUUUUACUUCCCAUCGCAAAAAAACCCAUUGUUUUCGUACUCCAAUACGUAUUGCAAUCGAAAUUGAACCGAUUGGAAUGUUAUGGCAGCGUGCAAAAGUUUACUGUAAUACCUAUAUUUAACAUACUUAUAUAUAAUAUUUUGUUUUUUUGCUCUAAUUAAUUUUUUAAAAAGCCUAACUUAGACCUGAGCUUUGGUUAUCAUCAUGAUGAUUAUUCUUAUAUUUUUUUUUUUAACGCGUUCUUCCCUUUGUACAACAAACAAAGAAAAGCAAAACACAACUAAAUUAAAUCCGUGCCCCACACAUGAAGCAAACGUGGCCUUAUCGGAAUGAAACCCUACUCUUAACUCUUAUCCAAGUCGUCUUCCUUCUAAGAAAAUCAUUAAGUAAACUAAACUGAAAUGUGGUUGGUACUCUUGAACGAUCGAUAAACAGAGGAAAACAAGAAAUGUAAUGCCAGUUGAAUUAUACACUAUUUAUAUAUAUAUAUUUUGUUCGUUAUUUAUAUAACCAUAUACCAUAAUAUUUUUCAUUGAUAUCCGCCUUGGCAACAACAAAUGCAAAAUCAAAAGGAAACAUAUACAAAACAAAACAAAAAAAAAAAUAAAUUAAAAAAACAACGAAAAAGACAAAACAACUAAUAAAUGAACACAAUCUGUACAUGAAUUUUGUUAAUGCUGAAACAUGCCUAUUUAUGCUUCCAUUGCAACACUUUUGUGCGUAUUUUUAUAUAGUAAAUUAAAAUGAAUACAAUUUAGUUUAUGGAAAAUUUUAAGUUAAAUAGCUUUAAAACAACAAGCGUUACAAAAUAAAUGAAAAAUAAAAAC
This is a non-coding RNA of Drosophila melanogaster (fruit fly), 1874 nucleotides long. The record is from Ensembl. Lineage: Eukaryota; Metazoa; Arthropoda; Insecta; Diptera; Drosophilidae.